GGGGCCUUAGCUCAGCCGGGAGAGCGCCUGCUUUGCACGCAGGAGGUCAGCGGUUCGAUCCCUGCUAGGCUCCA
This 74-nucleotide transfer RNA is filed under the name Alicyclobacillus fastidiosus. RNAcentral describes it as "tRNA-Ala". It matches the Rfam family "tRNA". From Rfam's summary of the family: Transfer RNA (tRNA) molecules are approximately 80 nucleotides in length. Their secondary structure includes four short double-helical elements and three loops (D, anti-codon, and T loops). The record is from RNAcentral. Lineage: Bacteria; Bacillati; Bacillota; Bacilli; Caryophanales; Alicyclobacillaceae.